This is a long non-coding RNA of Suricata suricatta (meerkat), 674 nucleotides long. RefSeq lists it as uncharacterized. The transcript is spliced from 4 exons. Lineage: Eukaryota; Metazoa; Chordata; Mammalia; Carnivora; Herpestidae. The record is from RefSeq and is a predicted model, not a curated record.
UUAGCUCCAGGGAGACAGUGCUCCGCACGGAUGCUGAGGACCCAAUGCCUGAUAUCUAUAAAUUCAACUUACCACCUCACUUGAAGCAGAGCUAGCAAACAUUUGAGGAAGAGUAACAUCGUAAAGGAGAAGGGCCAAGAAGAAUAACCACACGUAUCCUGACUCCAACCACCUACAAGGCUCACAUGUGGAAGGUCAGGCUCUGUUUGCUUCCCACUUAUUGCCUACAUAGCUGGAGAAACUGACCUACCUUCAAGAAAGGUUACUCUGUUCUGGCCUUGGAUUGGAGGAACAGAAUUUCUUGCUGGCUUUGAAGAAACAAACAUUCAUGUUACAAAGUGUUCUCUAUGAAGAAACAAACAUUCAUGAUACAAAGUGUUUAUGGAGAGAACAUUAUGACAUUGGGACUGCAGCUGAUGUCUCAGACCUAAGGGUGGUCCCAGCUGAGGAUCAGUAAGAGCUGUGCUGUCAGUCAUAUAUGUGCAAGAAAAUGAAUUCUAUCCAUGAUCAUGUGAUGUUAGAAUAAGAUCCUGGUCUUCAGAAAGGAACAAGAGUUGGCUGACAUCUUGCUGGUCACCUUGUGAAGAGUCUGUGGAGAGGACCUAGUGUGUUAGUGCCUAAAUGUGUGACCCAUGAAAAUUAUGAAAAAAUAAAUGUUUUAAUGUUUAAAGAUA